AGGAUAAACGCUGGCGGCGUGCAUGAGACAUGCAAGUCGAACGGACGAUCAGGGCUUGCUCUGAUCGUUAGUGGCGGACGGCUGAGUAACGCGUAGGUGACCUGCCCCGAAGUGGGGAAUAACUGCCCGAAAGGGUGGCUAAUACCGCAUGUGGUGGUGUGUUCAUUCACACCAGUAAAGCCGCAAGGCGCUUCGGGAGGGGCCUGCGUCCGAUUAGCUCGUUGGUGGGGUAACGGCUCACCAAGGCGACGAUCGGUAGGUGGUCUGAGAGGACGAUCACCCAGACUGGGACUGAGACACGGCCCAGACUCCUACGGGAGGCAGCAGUGGGGAAUCUUGCGCAAUGGGCGAAAGCCUGACGCAGCAACGCCGCGUGCGGGAAGAAGGCUCUCGGGUUGUAAACCGCUUUCAGAAGGAACGAAACUGACGGUACUUUCAGAAGAAGGUGCGGCCAACUACGUGCCAGCAGCCGC
RNAcentral lists this ribosomal RNA (473 nucleotides) under uncultured bacterium. RNAcentral describes it as "SSU rRNA". It matches the Rfam family "Bacterial small subunit ribosomal RNA", at positions 26 to 518 of the family's 1533-position model. The record is from RNAcentral.